RNAcentral lists this unclassified non-coding RNA (400 nucleotides) under uncultured fungus. RNAcentral's name for it is "sequence contains ITS1". The stretch from base 1 to 104 matches the Rfam family "5.8S ribosomal RNA", at positions 50 to 154 of the family's 154-position model. The record is from RNAcentral. Lineage: Eukaryota; Fungi.
GAAUUGCGAAAAGUAAUGCGACUUGCAUAAAUCGUGAACCAUCGAAUCCUUGAACGCACAUUGCACCUUUCGGUAACCCGAAAGGUCUGGCUGUUUGAGCAUCGAUUUGACAUGACAUCGACCUUGAGGUUUCGUUUUCUCGAAACUCGAAAGGCUCGGAUCGUGAGGCGUCCAUCUCUCCUGGAGAGAUGGUCCCUUGAAAUGAGCAAGGUGUGCGGCCGUAUCCAUCCCAAAAGGAGGUCGUCGUCGACCGGCGUAGCGUUGCAAUCGGGUCCGUCAUGGCUCGUGACACGCGCUACCCGACCGGUCUUCUCGCCUCCCGGAAACGCGACCUCCAGUACCUCUCCUCGCGGAGAAACAUACCAUAAACCUUACUCGAUCUCAAAUCAGCCAGGACUAC